UCCUCCCUCUUUCUUCGUGCUUAACACAUGCAAGUCGAACGGAAAGGCCCUGCUUGCAGGGUACUCGAGUGGCGAACGGGUGAGUAACACGUGGGUGAUCUGCCCUGCACUUCGGGAUAAGCCUGGGAAGCUGGGUCUAAUACCGGAUAGGAGCCAUUUUUAGUGUGAUGGUUGGAAAGUUUUUUCGGUGUAGGAUGAGCUCGCGGCCUAUCAGCUUGUUGGUAGGGUAAUGGCCUACCAAGGCGGCGACGGGUAGCCGGCCUGAGAGGGUGGACGGCCACAUUGGGACUGAGAUACGGCCCAGACUCCUACGGGAGGCAGCAGUGGGGAAUAUUGCACAAUGGGCGCAAGCCUGAUGCAGCGACGCCGCGUGGGGGAUGACGGCCUUCGGGUUGUAAACUCCUUUCGCUAGGGACGAAGCUUUUUGUGACGGUACCUAGAUAAGAAGCACCGGCUAACUACGUG
This 465-nucleotide ribosomal RNA is filed under the name uncultured bacterium. RNAcentral describes it as "partial 16S ribosomal RNA". It matches the Rfam family "Bacterial small subunit ribosomal RNA", at positions 36 to 507 of the family's 1533-position model. The record is from RNAcentral.